ACUCUAUCUUUAGGGAAAUUAGCACAAGAAGGAGAUACCGGCAAAACGGGAGAAAAGAAUGCUAAAAGUACGGGGCCAAAAAUUGACUCCACUAAGAAAAGCAGCAAAGAUGGAGGAGCUCAAGCAAGAGCUGGUAUUGAGGAAACUAAUA
Molecule: long non-coding RNA, 151 nt
Organism: Amphimedon queenslandica
Lineage: Eukaryota; Metazoa; Porifera; Demospongiae; Haplosclerida; Niphatidae
Exons: 3
Source: RefSeq, a predicted model, not a curated record